ACGCUCGACACCUACGUGAGGCAGCAGUUGGGAAUAUUGGACAAUGGAGGAAACUCUGAUCCAGUGACGCCGCGUGAAGGAAGAAGGUCUUCGGAUUGUAAACUUAUUUUGUCAGGGAAGAAAAAAUGACUGUACCUGAAGAAAAAGCACCGGCUAACUACGUGCCAACAGCCGCGGUAAUCUGAGCGGGCGUGGCAAGGC
Molecule: ribosomal RNA, 201 nt
Filed under: uncultured bacterium
Lineage: Bacteria
Description: partial 16S ribosomal RNA
Rfam family: Bacterial small subunit ribosomal RNA
Source: RNAcentral